GCCGGCGGUGACCUCGGUCCCUGCCCGUGCCGGCCCUAAACUUGCUGCACGACCGUGAGCCCCUUCCGGCUUGGUCAAUGGAGUGGUGUUACAAUCUUCCAUCGUACCUUUCCGGAGACGCCCGCGGCGUUAAACCCCGAUGUCCCUCUGCGGACUGAAGUUUUGACCUCAAAUCAGACAAGGAUACCCGCUGAACUUAA
This 200-nucleotide unclassified non-coding RNA is filed under the name soil metagenome. RNAcentral describes it as "partial contains internal transcribed spacer 2 and large subunit ribosomal RNA". The record is from RNAcentral.